This 1311-nucleotide long non-coding RNA is filed under the name Homo sapiens (human). Its description in RNAcentral is "HSALNT0357604". The record is from RNAcentral. Lineage: Eukaryota; Metazoa; Chordata; Mammalia; Primates; Hominidae.
GUUGCCAUUAAAAAUGUCUGUAUAAUACAAGUUUUUGUGUAAUCAUAUGUUUUUAUUUCUCUUCAUGUUUAACGAUUUGAGGAGCUGCCAGACUGUUUUGAAAAGUGGCUGCACUGUAUUACAUUUCCACCAGCAAUGUAUGAAGGCUCAAAAUUUUCCGCAUCUUCAUCAACACAUUGUUUUCCGACUUUCUAAAAUUACAACCAUCCUAAUAUGUGGAGUAGUAUCUCAUUGUGGUUUUGAUUUGCAUUUCCUUGAUCACUAAUGAUGUUGAGCAUACUGUCAUAAGUUUAUUGCCUAUUUAUAUAUCUUCUUUAAAGAAAUUUAUAUUAAGAUUCUUUGACCACGUUUAAUUGGGCUUUUUUUAUUACUGAGUUGUAAGAGUUCUUUGUUUAUUCCAGGUACAAGUAACCUAUUAUAUACAUAAUUUGCAAAUAUUUUCUGUCAUUCUGUGGAUUGCAUUUUUACUUUUUAAUAUUACCCUUUGAAGCACGAAAGUUUCUAAGUUUGUUAGAGUUCAAUUUACUUAUUUUUAGUUUGUUGCUUGUGGUUUGGUAUCUUACAUAAGAAAUCAUUUCCUAAUCCAAGGUGACAAAAAUUGAUGUCUAUGCUUUCUUCUAACAUUUUAUAGAAUUAAGCCUUACGUUUAGGUCUUUCAUUCAUUUUGAGUUAAAUUUUGAAUAUGGUGUGAGAUAGGGAUCCAACUUUAUUCUUUUUCAUGUGGAUAUCUAGUUGUCCCAACACCAUUUGAAGAGACGAUUCUUUUCACAAUAAAUUGUCUUAGCAUCUUUGAUGAAAAUCAGUUGUACAUAAAGGUGAGAGUUUAUUUCUGGUCUCUCAGUUCUGUUCUAGUGAUCUUUAUGUCUAUCUGUAUGUUAGUACCACACUGUCUUUAUUAUUAUAGCUUUGUAAUAAGUUGUGAAGUUGGGAAGUGCGAGUCCUCCAACAUUUUUCUCCUUUGUAAAAACUAUUUUGGCUAUCCUGCAUUCCAGGUAUUUUGAUAUGGAUUUUAUUAGAAGCUUGUCAAGUUCUGCAAAAUAGGCAACUGGAAUUUUAAUGGGGAUUGCAUUGAAUCUGUAGAUUGUUUUUGGUAGUAUCUUAACAAAACUUAACAAUAUUAAAUCUUGCAAUCCAUAAACAUAGGAUGUCUUCCCAUUUAUUUAGAGAUUUGGAAAUUUUUUUCAAUAAUGCUUGUUGUUUUCAGAGUAUAAGUUUGCACUUCUUUUGUUUAUUUGAUUCCUGUAUAUUCCUGUAAGGUCUAUACAUCCCACUUGAAGUUGUACAACAUUGAUUAAAAAUAGAUUUUUAAAC